RNAcentral lists this ribosomal RNA (372 nucleotides) under uncultured organism. Its description in RNAcentral is "bacterial SSU rRNA". It matches the Rfam family "Bacterial small subunit ribosomal RNA", at positions 526 to 896 of the family's 1533-position model. The record is from RNAcentral.
CAGAGGGGGCAAGCGUUAUUCGGAAUUAUUGGGCGUAGAGGGCGCGUAGGCGGCUUUGCAAGUGACGGGUGAAAUCCCUCGGCUUAACCGAGGAACUGCCUGUCAGACUGCAUGGCUUGAGACCGGGAGAGGUGAGUGGAAUUCCCAGUGUAGCGGUGAAAUGCGUAGAUAUUGGGAGGAACACCAGUGGCGAAGGCGGCUCACUGGACCGGUACUGACGCUGAGGCGCGAAAGCGUGGGUAGCAAACAGGAUUAGAUACCCUGGUAGUCCACGCCGUAAACGAUGAGUGCUUGGUGUAGCGGGUAUCGACCCCUGCUGUGCCGAAGUCAACACAUUAAGCACUCCGCCUGGGGAGUACGGUCGCAAGACUG